GCUACCUACGUGCCCGCGACGGGGGUAAGACUGGGGUGGGAAGCGUUGUCCGGUUUUAGUUGGCGUAACGCCAGCGCAUGCGUUGCCGUAAUUCCGAUGUGAAAGCCCACGGCUCAACCGUGGAAGGUCAUUGGAAACUGGGGAACUUGAGUGCAGAAGAGGAGAGUGGAAUGCCAUGUGUAGCGGUGAAAUGCGUAGAUAUAUGGAGGAACACCAGUGGCGAAGGCGACUCUCUGGUCUGUAACUGACGCUGAGGCUCGAAAGCGUGGGGAGCAAACAGGAUUAGAUACCCUAGUAGUC
Molecule: ribosomal RNA, 300 nt
Filed under: uncultured Lactobacillus sp.
Lineage: Bacteria; Bacillati; Bacillota; Bacilli; Lactobacillales; Lactobacillaceae
Description: bacterial SSU rRNA
Rfam family: Bacterial small subunit ribosomal RNA
Source: RNAcentral